AGCUGAAACUUAAAGGAAUUGACGGAAGGGCACCACCAGGAGUGGAGCUUGCGGCUUAAUUUGACUCAACACGGGACAACUCACCAGGCCCGGACACCGUAAGGAUUGACAGACUGAUAGCUCUCUCUUGAUUCAGUGGGUGGUGGUGCAUGGCCGUUCUUAGUUGGUGGAGUGAUUUGUCUGGUUUAUUCCGAUAACGAACGAGACUCUGGCCUAUUAAACUUGACACUGUCCGUCUCUUGUGACGGCGGUGCGCUUCUUAGAGGGAUCAUCGGCGUCCCAGCCGAAGGAAAGGGAGCAAUAACAGGUCUGUGAUGCCCUUAGAUGUUCUGGGCUGCACGCGUGUUACACUGAAGUGGUCAGCGCGCCGUUCAACACCCCUCUCCGUGAGGAGCUUGGGCAAACGUUUGAACCCUUUUCGUGAUGGGAAUUGGGGGUUGCAAUUGUCCCCCAUGAACGAGGAAUUCCAAGUAAGCGCAGGUCACUAGCCUGCGUUGAUUAAGUCCCUGCCCUUUGUACACACCGCCCGUCGCUACUACCGAUGGAUGAUUUGGUGAGGUCGCCUAGACUGGCUGCUGGCUUCGGCCGUGCGGCCGGGAAGACGCCCAAACUUGGUCGUCUAGAGGAAGUAAAAGUCGUAACAAGGUUUCC
Molecule: ribosomal RNA, 651 nt
Filed under: Megabalanus ajax
Lineage: Eukaryota; Metazoa; Arthropoda; Thecostraca; Balanomorpha; Balanidae
Description: SSU rRNA
Rfam family: Eukaryotic small subunit ribosomal RNA
Source: RNAcentral